Molecule: small nuclear RNA, 107 nt
Organism: Physeter macrocephalus (sperm whale)
Lineage: Eukaryota; Metazoa; Chordata; Mammalia; Artiodactyla; Physeteridae
Source: Ensembl
GUGCUUGCUUCGGCAGCACAUAUACUAAAAUUGGAACGAUACGGAGGAGAUUAGCAUGGCCCCUGCGCAAGGAUGACACGCAAAUUUGUGAAGUGUUCCAUGUUUUU